GGUUGAUCCUGCCAGUAGUCAUAUGCUUGUCUCAAAGAUUAAGCCAUGCAUGUCUAAGUUUAAGCAACUAAACGGUGAAACUGCGAAUGGCUCAUUAAAUCAGUCAUAGUUUAUUUGAUGGUACCCUACUACAUGGAUAACUGUGGUAAUUCUAGAGCUAAUACAUGCAUAAAAAUCCCGACUUCUGGAAGGGAUGUAUUUAUUAGAUCCAAAACCAAUGGCUUCGGUCUUACUGGUGAAUCAUGAUAACUUCUCGAAUCGUAUGGCCUUGCGCCGACGAUGCUUCAUUCAAA
This 293-nucleotide ribosomal RNA is filed under the name uncultured eukaryote. RNAcentral's name for it is "partial 18S ribosomal RNA". It matches the Rfam family "Eukaryotic small subunit ribosomal RNA", at positions 6 to 303 of the family's 1831-position model. The record is from RNAcentral.